This 447-nucleotide ribosomal RNA is filed under the name uncultured soil bacterium. RNAcentral's name for it is "bacterial SSU rRNA". It matches the Rfam family "Bacterial small subunit ribosomal RNA", at positions 951 to 1384 of the family's 1533-position model. The record is from RNAcentral.
UAGUGAUUAACGCGAAGAACCUUACCAAGGUUUGACAUGCAGGGAAAAGCCGUAGAGAUACGGUGUCCGUAAGGGCCCUGCACAGGUGGUGCAUGGCUGUCGUCAGCUCGUGUCGUGAGAUGUUGGGUUAAGUCCCGCAACGAGCGCAACCCUCGUCCUAUGUUGCCAGCGGAUAAUGCCGGGGACUCAUAGGAGACUGCCGGGGUCAACUCGGAGGAAGGUGGGGAUGAGGUCAAGUCAUCAUGCCCCUUAAGUCUUGGGCUGCAAACAUGCUACAAUGGCCGGUACAGAGCGUCGCCAACCCGCGAGGGUGCGCCAAUCGCCAAAAGCCGGUCUAAGUUCGGAUUGCAGUCUGCAACUCGACUGCAUGAAGCCGGAAUCGCUAGUAAUCGCAGAUCAGCAACGCUGCGGUGAAUACGUUCCCGGGCCUUGUCACACCGAAUCGAA